This 7270-nucleotide long non-coding RNA is filed under the name Jatropha curcas. RNAcentral's name for it is "long non-coding RNA (JCUR_LNC001372)". Lineage: Eukaryota; Viridiplantae; Streptophyta; Magnoliopsida; Malpighiales; Euphorbiaceae. The record is from RNAcentral.
CUUAUCUUAGAGCCGGAGGAAUUGUAUAAAGAUGUUGAAGUUGUUGUUUGUACUUCCUCAUCUAAUAUGGAAUUUAGAUGAUGUUUAUGUUUAUUUGGAGAAACUGGAUGGCGUUUGAAUGAUGUUUAUGUUUAUUUGGGAGAAUUCGGAUGAUGUUUAAUUAGAACUUUUAUACAUUUGUGCUUAUGUGAAGAAUAUUAAAAUUUAUUGUUGUGCUUAUUAUAUUAUAUAAUAUAUAAUGUGUAUAUAAAAUAUGUUAAUAUAUAUAUAUAUUGAAUUUUAUUGAUCAAUUUGUGUUUUAAACCCAUAACUUUGGAGGUAAAGCUCAUUUCUGUUGAUCGAACUCCUUGUUGAUGAACCACACACUAAAUUUGAGUUCAUCAUAAAUUUUAGUAAGUUAAAACAUUUAAGGCUGCAAUGAAUGGAAAAGAAGUCCUAUGUAUUGUCAACAGUAAAAAGAGAAAUAGAGAGAAAUGCAAAUAUAAUCCAUCCAUGGCAACAAAAAGAAAUAACCUAUUAUCUUCUUCCUCAUCACCAACACGUACAUGUCUCUGCUCACCUACAAACCAUCCAGGCUCGUUCAAGUGCAGCCUACACAGAAUUACUACUAUUACAACAUCUGGUGGACUUUAUCGAGAAUCAACAGCUCAUUUGAACCGAUCAUCAAUGUUGGAGGUGUCUUCUUCAUCAAAAUCAAAGACAAUGAUGAUCAAUUCAAAAGCUGAUACCAUAAAGGCAUUUCUUUUACAGAUUAUCAAGCCAUCAAGUCAUGAUCUUCAAAGAAGACGAAACUUUCAGCCCAAGCCUACAAGAUUCUCCCCUUUUAAUGCCUGCAAUCACCAUUUUCAUGGUGGCCUCACUGUUUCUUGAUCAGCAUAGAGGAGGAGAGAUGAAGGUGUUCUUUUCUUUUCUUUUCUUUUCUUUUUUUUUUUUUUCGUUUCUUUCUUUCUAUUUUUUCCUUUUAUCAAAUUAAGUAGAAAACAAUUAUUUUCUGGUUGCCAAUGUGCAAUAAUUAAGUGAAUAAUAAUAGUUUUUUUUUUAAACUUAUUUAUGUCAGAAAAUUUUAUUCAAAAAAUAAACGUCAGAAAAUUAGAAAGUAAAUUUAAUUUAGUUGCUUUUAAAGAAAUUUUAAUCGAGAAAACUGAAUUUUUGAUUGAUGAGGAUGGUAAAAUUGCAAGCUAUCCUCGUCGGUUUCUUUCCUUUCUCUUCUUUUAAUAUGUUCACCUUUUGUAUAUAUGCUUUUUAUUUUAUUUUUUUAUACAUAUGUACGAUUUUUAUUUAAUACCUAUGAUUGAUAAUUUUUAUUCAUGUAUAUAUUGCAGUAACUAGCGAUAUACCCGUGCUAUGCACGAUUAAAAAAAAUAAAAUAAAGUAAAAUUGAGAGAAUAUAUAUAUAAUUUAUAGAUUCUUGAAUAAAAUUUUUUUUAUUAUGUUAUUAAAAAUAUUAUAAAGAUAUAUCAAUAGUAAAAAAAAAGAUAUAUAUAGCGUGAUUAUUGAUUAUUAAAUUAAAAUUAAUAGAUAGGCAUGUGUUUUGGAAUAUGGAUUAAAAAUAUUAAAAUUUAUAGAGAUAAAUUAAAAAAAAAGUAAAAUGAGAGGUGGUAAAAUUCAUUAAUUUGAUUUAUUUUAAAAUUAAUGUAAAAUUAAAAUAAUGAACUUGUUAUUUCAUUAAAAUCUAUGAAUAAAUAAUUUAUUUUAAAUAACUAAAAGUUGUAUAAAUCUUCAACUUAUCAUAUUGUUAAUACUAUAAUUAUAAAUUAUAUUUAAUAUAAUUUAAUUUAAUACAAAAAUUUUAAUAUUUUAACUAAUUUUCAAAAUUGCAACAGAAAAACGAAAAAUAAAUAAUUUGAAAAAUAUUUUUCAAGAAUUUUUUUUUUUUUUUGAAAAAUAAUUUUCAAAGAUAUGUUAUUUUUUGGAAACAAAUGGAGCCCCUAAUUGGUAGAAUUAUCUUUCAUUUUUUAAAGUAAAAAAAAAAAAAAAAAAAACAUAAAUUAAAAUUGCAAUUUUGGCUUUUUUUUCCCAAAUUAAAUAUGGUUUACAUAAACCACCUAGCUAAAGGUGGACAUUCGGCAUAACCAAACCAGAGGGAAGAGUUUGGAAAUCAAUUCAAUAUCAAAUCAAACCAGAUCAAUUUUGGGUUUGGUUCAAUUAUUCGAACCGAAUAAUAUAUUUUAGACGUUAAAGUGAAUUCGGUUAGUUAUGCAAGUGACAAAACCAAAUACCAUUCGUUUAUCACUAUUCAAAUUGUGUAGUAAUCAAACUUUUAAAAGUUGACCAAAUCAAAUCGAAAUGGUUCGAUUUGAUUAUUUGAUCCGAACCAAAAUACUAUUUACGCCUACUCCUAGCUUAUAAAAACAUAUUAAAAAGUUUUCUAUGUGAGUUUUAGAAGUUUUCCAUUUUAGUUUUUUGCUAUAAAGAAAACAAAAGGGGUUUUCUAUUUUAGAAUUAACUUCAAAUAACUCUAAACUAAAUAACUCAAUCCAAGGUUUGCAAAAUAUGGAAUGUAGCCGGAUUUUUUCGGUAAAGUGUAAGGACAAAUUUAUGUAUUUGGAUGAUUAUUAUUGUAAUUUAUAUGAACCAAUUCCAUUAUUUAAAAUAUAAGGUGUGUUUGGUUGGGGGGUAAGGAGAUUAGGGAAGUGCAUAAGUGUUUUUUUGUUUGAUUUGCAUUAUCAAUUAUACUUUCUGAGAAGUAGAUCAUUCAAUUUCUCUUAUACAAGGGAAGUAAAUUCCUUAGGUAUAAGUAGAGAAGUGCAACUUCCUUAAUUAAAUGCAAUGAAUUUACUAAUUUAUCCUAGUAACUAUAUUGUGGAUAUCAUUGUGAUUUAUAGUUUGAGAGCAAUUCAUUUCUUACAAAGUUGAUUUACAUACCAAACACAUAUAAAUUAUACUUCUUGAAAAAUAAUUUCCUUCAAAGUAUACUUCAUGAGAAUUAUACUUUUCGGAAGUAAGUGAUUUUGAACCAAACGAGGCCUAAGAUCAUUACUAUUAAAAAAUUAAAUAUUAUAUGUGUCAUUUGUAGAAAGAAACUAUAUACAUGCAAUUUCAUAACUUGAAGUUAUUCUAUAAAAGAGAUGUUUUUCUUUUUCGCUUCUAUAGUGGCUCCUUUUCUUCCUUUCUUGUACAAUGAAAGUUGAUCUCGUCUCUGAGUCAAUAUAUAUAUACUAAGGUUAAAAACCAGAUUUGGUAAUAUAGUUCAGGCAACCAUAAUAACGCCAGUGUCUGUGAAGAACUUAACAGGCAGAGCAAAACCUUAAAUGAAUUUCCGACCUUCUCAGGUUUUGUAAUAAUAUGAUCCCAUUAACGUCUAGAUUAAUUUAUUUUUGCAGAACAAAUGUAAUGAAUUAGGCCAAAAGAGAUGAAUAAAUAACGUAAUUUCCAAGAAAAAGAGGAGCAUUGUCGUUGGAGUAGAGGGAGAGAUGGAGGGGGGGUCACCCUCGCAGCUGUAACUUUGUCUUCUUUCCUUUACCUUAAGAUUGAGACAGCCCUAGUGUGGUCGCUUCUGAGUUUUUUUUUAUCCCUUCUUUUUCUCUUUUCUUUUCUUAAUAUAAAUAAUAAUUAGUAAAUAAAAAACAAAGAUAAAAAUACGUUGAGUCGUUUUCACAACCGCACUCAGUCUCACUUCUUCUUAUUCUCUACCAUUUUUUUUCUUUCUCCUCUGCUCUAUUCACUCACGAGAGCACCAAACCAGUACUUGGAAAACGACAUUCCCAUAACUUUUAAGGCGUGCGCUGGCUGGCUUUGUUCACAUGAUAAAUUCUAGAUCCGGAUGAAAAAAAUGCAUGGAUACAUAUGCUUAUAGAAAAGAAUCAGUAACAGGCCCCCCCCAGCUUCCACCUUCCCCCUUCCCCCUCUAAAUGGACCUACCCAUGAAUGGCACUUUAUCACUUAAAUUGACCAAUUGUUGCUCCACUUUCUAACUCAAAACUAAAGGGACCUCUAUCUAUCUAUCUACCCAAAAAACAAUUAAUGCAAAUUAUAGGUAUGAGGAAAAGAAGAAAAUUACAAUUUUGUAAGUUUAAGGAUUUAAUAUUAACCUAAAAAUUGAGAAAUCAUUAAAACUUUCUUGUAAAUUUUAGGUCAUAGUUUAUACAUUUGGCCAUGAAGUUAGUACAACUAUUGUUUGAUUAUAAUCAAAUUAAUUGACAUCUUCAAAAAAAAAAAAAAAAAGUAACAUUUAUGUUUCAAAAAUAUUUAAUAAAAAAAAGAAGAAAAAAAGGAGGGUAAUGAUGGUAUUUACAUGUGAAAGUUCAACAUAUAAAUAAGAUAUACAUGGAGAGUAAUAUAUUAUAGUAAUAUAUCUGUGCCUGGUGUUAGAGUCUGGGAAUGAAUAGUUUUCUCUGUUGAUUUUCUCUUUCCCUUUCUCUUGUUUCUCCUCCAAAUUUUCAGUGCUUCUGAUAACGAACAACAAAAUCAUUGAGAAACACUCCAAUCGCAAGGUGCUUCUUUUCUCUUUCCCUAAUUUAAAAAAAAAAAAGAAAUGAUAUUCUUUAAGCUUGUAACUGAUUCUCUUUUUCUCUAGAAAUUUGAUUUCUUUAAGGGAAACCAUGAGGAGGAUAAUCUAUCGGUUGAAACCCUUCAUUUGAUUUUUGAUUUCUGUGGUGGGUUUUGAAAUUUCGAUUUUCUUUACUUUAAUUCGAUUUAUUGGAUUAUGUUUUAAUUUUUCAGCUUUAAAUUAUAAUUUUACAAAUUAUCAGAAAUAUUUUAACUUCUCCCUUUCGUUCUUUGGUUCGUUUAUUACUGUAACUGAUUCUCUUUUUCUCUAGAAAUUUGAUUUCUUUAAGGGAAAAGACGAGGAGGAUAAUCUAUCCGUCGAAACCCUUUAUUUGAUUUUUGAUUUCUGUGGUGGGUUUUGAAAUUUCGAUCUUCUUUCCUUUAAUUCGAUUUAUUGGAUUAUGUUUUAAUUUUUCAGCUUUAAAUUAUAAUUUUACAAAUUAUCAGAAAUAUUUUAACUUCUCCCUUUCGUUCUUUGGUUCGUUUAUUACUGUAGAAUAAAAAAUAACAUUGUUACGCUUUGAGAGUAAAUUUUAAGUUAAUGAAUGUUAAGCAAAAAAAAAAAAAAAGAAAACUUUUUAUUGGUUAUUUGCGGUAGAAUCAAUGACAUAGUAGAGUUUUUAAGGCUUAUUAUAGAAUUUUAGAUUUAUUCCUUCAAUUGAUAGUCUUUCUUUCUUUCUUUCUUAGUGUUCGUAGCAGCUGUUAAUUAAUUAUUCUUGGUUGGUAUCUGAUGGAUGCCAAUAACUGGAGGCCCACCGGCCAAGGUGCAGAACCUACAAUGGAUGCUGGUGAUUGGAGAGCUCAGUUGCAGCCUGAUUCGCGGCAGCGAAUUGUCAACAAGAUGUGGGUGCCGUUGCUUUCAAUUUGUAGCUUUUCAUUUACAUAUAUCUAAGUUGCAGUGGCUUUGCUAUAAAAUUAGUAAUUUACAUCCCUAACGUCAAUACAAAUAUUUUAUACAUUGAGGGUCCUCUUCUUUGUGCUUAUAAUAUAAUUGGUAAUGCAAUAUUUGCAUGUAGAAUGGAGACAUUAAAGAGACAUCUUCCAUUUUCUAGUCAAGAGGGAUUGGAAGAACUCAAGAAAAUUGCAGUGCGGUUUGAGGAAAAGAUUUAUACUGCUGCUGCAAGCCAGGUAUGCUCUUAAUGAUGAAGUAUACGUCCUUAUGUUAAUCCUCUUGGUUUGUUCAUUUUAUCUAGAAGGGUAGGAGAUUGGAACAACGGAAGUGUACACAAAAUAAUAGGGGAGAGGGAGAAAGCCCAGAGUUUUGAUGGGGGGGGUGUUGUUUGUUGUGGGUGGGUUGGGGGGCCAGCGGAACUGCAAACAUGGGUGUCCACUAUAUGCCAAUGGUUCAGCAUGUAGCCUCCUCCCACCCCGCCUCUCCCAUUAAAAAUCUUGACUGCAACAUUUUUAUAGUGGAUCGUUGUGAGUUCUAAGUUUAUUCUAAUGAUCUCUGAUUUCAGCCGGAUUAUCUACGGAAAAUUUCUUUGAAGAUGCUUACAAUGGAGUCCAAGUCUGAAAAUCCUAUGCCGAAUUCUUUACCACCCAAUGCAUCUGGCAAUAGCAACAGAGCCCCUGAUCCAGGAGGUAAUAACUCUACAUAACAUUGGACUUCCAUGUGAUGCCAUUGUCAACAUUUCAUUUUGGGUUAAUGUCACAAGCAGUCAUGAACUAGUCAGUGACUGUCCCUGAUAUAGCAAUAACCCUAUGUACACUUCUUUACCACCCAGACAGCUUGGUCCAGAAGGUAAUAGCUUGAUUGAACGUUGGACUUCUAUUUGAUGCGAUUGUCCAAGUAUUAACUCAUGUUAGCUUUUGGUGAUGUAAGGUUACGAUUUUCUUGUCUGUUUGGAUUAAUUAACACUAAUUUACUAGUCCUUAACUUUUGAUUGGUUAAGACAGUUCUAAAAUCACUCCGACCAUUUUAGGCCAUUUAGAAAUUUAUGAAGCUGAAGUUGGUAUCGAGCAUUGUACGUUGCAGGAGUUCAAAACAGAGGAGCAGUUCACUGCUUUUGCAAUUUGACUGGCAAAAUUACAGAGAGGGAUGUAAAAGGAGAGAGAAUUAGGAGUUAUUUUGGUACAAAUUGAAAAUUUAAUACUUGAAUUUGAAGUGUUGAAUAAUAUACUCCAACUUGCAUACAUGACAGUUCUUUUUGUAAGAUGCACAAAUUGAUCAAAUUUUUUCAUCCAUGUUUUGGUAUUUAUACAAUUAACAUGUGGCUAUGUCCUCUCUAGAACUGAAUCCGCUAUUACUCAUAUUCGUGCGGAUUUAAAAUGCUCCAUGUAGUCAGAUUAUUUUAAAAAAAGAUACUGAGAAGUUUGUAAUUGACCAAAUUAAUUUGAAUGCUAAUAUUAGACAAAACCGCUGAGUAUUUUAAAAUUUGAGUAUCUCCUCCCUCCAAUUCCAUUUAAGGGGCAAAAAGAAGAUUUGUUAGUGAAGGUAUCUGCCAUUUUUUACUUGCUGAAAUCAUUUUAUUUGCUGCUAUUUAACUAAUUAACUUUUCUUAUUUGCUUCAUAGAUGCAAAGAAAGCAGAGUUGGAAGAACUUACAAGAGAAACUAUGGAGCUUAACUUAGAGCCGGAGGAAUUGUAUAAAGAUGUUGAAGUUGUUGUUUGUACUUCCUCAUCUAAAUUGUAAUUUAGAUGAUGUUUAUGUUUAUUUGGGAGAAUUCGGAUGAUGUUUAAUUAGAACUUUUAUGCAUUUGUGCUUAUUUGAAGAAUAUUAAAAUUUAUUGUUGUGCUUAUUAUAUUAUAUAAUAUAUAAUGUGUAUAUAAAAUAUGUUAAUAU